This 253-nucleotide ribosomal RNA is filed under the name uncultured bacterium. RNAcentral's name for it is "partial 16S ribosomal RNA". It matches the Rfam family "Bacterial small subunit ribosomal RNA", at positions 524 to 776 of the family's 1533-position model. The record is from RNAcentral.
UACAGAGGGUGCGAGCGUUAAUCGGAAUUACUGGGCGUAAAGCGCGCGUAGGCGGCUUUGCAAGCCGGAUGUGAAAUCCCCGGGCUCAACCUGGGAACUGCAUUCGGGACUGCAUUGCUCGAGUAUGGGAGAGGGAAGUGGAAUUUCAGGUGUAGCGGUGAAAUGCGUAGAUAUCUGAAGGAACAUCAGUGGCGAAAGCGACUUCCUGGACCAAUACUGACGCUCAUGUGCGAAAGCGUGGGGAGCAAACAGG